Non-coding RNA from Loxodonta africana (African savanna elephant), 45 nucleotides. The record is from Rfam. NCBI's taxonomy places the organism in Eukaryota, Metazoa, Chordata, Mammalia, Proboscidea, Elephantidae.
GAAUAGGCUUUAUUCAAAGCCACUCAAUGACCUCAGUAGUCAAUG